AGCAUCAGAGGACGAAAUCUCAUUACAAUCUUAGGACACCUUCUGACACAGUGCUGUUACCCUGCAUUGUGAAUGAGAAGGCUUUUUUUUCUGAUGAUGAU
RNAcentral lists this small nucleolar RNA (101 nucleotides) under Leersia perrieri. RNAcentral's name for it is "snoRNA snoR31_Z110_Z27". It matches the Rfam family "Small nucleolar RNA snoR31/Z110/Z27". From Rfam's summary of the family: This family contains several related snoRNAs including R31, Z27 and Z110. Family members belong to the C/D class of snoRNAs which contain the C (UGAUGA) and D (CUGA) box motifs. Most of the members of the box C/D family function in directing site-specific 2'-O-methylation of substrate RNAs. Lineage: Eukaryota; Viridiplantae; Streptophyta; Magnoliopsida; Poales; Poaceae. The record is from Rfam by way of RNAcentral.